AUCACAUCAGCACCCCCCAGCACCUCUUUUCUUUUAAAACUUCAGUUCACGGACUUGACAAAAAUCUAUUUUGCAUCUGCCAUGAACUCACUCCACUAAGAGCUGAUCUACCACCAUCACAUCAACAACCUGCCCCAGGUGCGUCAAUCUUGGUGUCUGUGGAUUUUUGGAGAGUGACAAGCAGGGCUGCAGCUCAGCAGAUGAAUGAUCCCUCUUCGCGGACAACUAGGACUGAGCAGCAUUCUUUCACUUUUUGCCUUGAACAUGGACUGUGAAAUAGCAUAAUUAAAACUCUGCUUUAUGGACAGAGAGGAAAUAGUUGUAACUCCUGUACAGUUUGUUAGCUAGACGUAGUUUAAAAUAUUUCACUACUUUUUCACUGUUUAACUGCAUUGCAAUAGGAGCUCCAAACAAAUUUUUCU
Molecule: long non-coding RNA, 422 nt
Organism: Nothoprocta perdicaria
Lineage: Eukaryota; Metazoa; Chordata; Aves; Tinamiformes; Tinamidae
Exons: 2
Source: RefSeq, a predicted model, not a curated record